UGGGGAAUCUUGCGCAAUGGGCGAAAGCCUGACGCAGCCAUGCCGUGUGAAUGAUGAAGGUCUUAGGAUUGUAAAAUUCUUUCACCGGGGACGAUAAUGACGGUACCCGGAGAAGAAGCCCCGGCUAACUUCGUGCCAGCAGCCGCGGUAAUACGAAGGGGGCUAGCAUUGCUCGGAAUUACUGGGCGUAAAGGGAGCGUAGGCGGACAUUUAAGUCAGGGGUGAAAUCCCGGGGCUCAACCUCGGAAUUGCCUUUGAUACUGGGUGUCUUGAGUAUGAGAGAGGUGUGUGGAACUCCGAGUGUAGAGGUGAAAUUCGUAGAUAUUCGGAAGAACACCAGUGGCGAAGGCGACACACUGGCUCAUUACUGACGCUGAGGCUCGAAAGCGUGGGGAGCAAACA
This 402-nucleotide ribosomal RNA is filed under the name uncultured prokaryote. RNAcentral describes it as "bacterial SSU rRNA". It matches the Rfam family "Bacterial small subunit ribosomal RNA", at positions 355 to 774 of the family's 1533-position model. The record is from RNAcentral.